RNAcentral lists this ribosomal RNA (497 nucleotides) under uncultured bacterium. Its description in RNAcentral is "partial 16S ribosomal RNA". It matches the Rfam family "Bacterial small subunit ribosomal RNA", at positions 28 to 507 of the family's 1533-position model. The record is from RNAcentral.
GACGAACGCUGGCGGCGUGCCUAAUACAUGCAAGUUGAGCGCUGAAGGUUGGUACUUGUACCAACUGGAUGAGCAGCGAACGGGUGAGUAACGCGUGGGGAAUCUGCCUUUGAGCGGGGGACAACAUUUGGAAACGAAUGCUAAUACCGCAUAAAAACUUUAAACACAAGUUUUAAGUUUGAAAGAUGCAAUUGCAUCACUCAAAGAUGAUCCCGCGUUGUAUUAGCUAGUUGGUGAGGUAAAGGCUCACCAAGGCGAUGAUACAUAGCCGACCUGAGAUGGUGAUCGGCCACAUUGGGACUGAGACACGGCCCAAACUCCUACGGGAGGCAGCAGUAGGGAAUCUUCGGCAAUGGACGAAAGUCUGACCGAGCAACGCCGCGUGAGUGAAGAAGGUUUUCGGAUCGUAAAACUCUGUUGGUAGAGAAGAACGUUGGUGAGAGUGGAAAGCUCAUCAAGUGACGGUAACUACCCAGAAAGGGACGGCUAACUACGUG